RNA transcript from Helianthus annuus (common sunflower), 229 nucleotides. RefSeq lists it as uncharacterized. NCBI's taxonomy places the organism in Eukaryota, Viridiplantae, Streptophyta, Magnoliopsida, Asterales, Asteraceae. The transcript has 3 exons. The record is from RefSeq and is a predicted model, not a curated record.
ACAGAAAGACACACAUGAGCAGGACAUACUACAAAUUGCCACUUGUGUGGAUCAAAUUACAAAAGACAGGCUUGAAUGUUGAAGUAGAUAGAAUAUUGGAGAUUGCUUGUGUCAUUACUGAUGGGAAAUUGCGGAAAUUGGUAGAGGGUCCUGAUUUGGUGAUUCAUCAAACAAAAGAUUGUGUAGAUGAAGUUGGAGAACAGAGCCAAGAUCAUCAUGUGAGAAAUGG